RNAcentral lists this long non-coding RNA (723 nucleotides) under Trifolium pratense (red clover). RNAcentral describes it as "long non-coding RNA (TPRA_LNC006977)". The record is from RNAcentral. Lineage: Eukaryota; Viridiplantae; Streptophyta; Magnoliopsida; Fabales; Fabaceae.
UAAAAAUUAAACUCAAUAAUUUUUUAUUUUUUUUUACAAAAAACUCACUAGAUAAAUAAAUAUAAAUAUUUGUAGAUAGAAAUAUGUGUGAAAAUUAUACACAAAUAAAAUUUAAUUAAUUGAACCGAACCGGCGUCCUGUCCGGUCGGAGUUGAGCAGUGUUACGUUAUCUUUUACUGACAGUGACAUGGAAACCAAAUACUCUGUCUGAGAGCAAGAAAUCACCACCACCAUCUUUCACUUUAUCAGCUCUCACAAACACCCUCUUCGGUUUCAAGUUUCAACCGUAUCGCUAUCACCAUCUUUGUAACUUUCCUUUUCCCUUUCUCAGCUACUACUUGGUUCCUUUUGGAUUUCAUCUUUUUUUGCGUUGCUUUUGCGCUUCUUAUUGUUGUUGUUGUUGUUGUUGUUCCUCUUUUUUUUGUUACUAAUUGUUGAGUUCAGACAGCACCUAGAAGUGAUGUCUCUUUCUAUUUUGGUCACUUCAGUUUUGAAAUAUGAAGUUCAUAAAUGAGUAUAUCAAUUGUUUGUUUAAAUGCCUAAAUGACUGCAAUCUCACCCACAUUUAUUUCACUUUUGUUAACAUUGUUAAAAUAUUACACUUUGCAACCUUAUACAGCUUUCUUCCAAAUUUUACUAAAAACUGUAUCCCUUUUGUUAAAUCUAAGGUUUAGGUUAUAACUUAUAAGGAAAAUGCGUUUCUUUUUUUUUUUUUUUUUUUUU